ACGAAUUUGAAAAGAAAACAAACAGAUUGUAAGCUAAAACAGAUUUUGGACGAAUUUGGAUAAACUAUGGAUGAUGGGCUAGCUAGAGGGUUCUUCUCCACACAUGACACACUUGCACAUAAACCAAUUUUCAAUUAUUCUUUCGAUGAAUCAUGAAACUCCCUUAUAUUCUAGCAUUAUAUUCAUGCAUGCAACUAAGUGUGCACUCUUAAUAAACAUACACGAAUAAGUUAACAAUCAAGCAACUAAACAAAUUGAAUUCACAACUUAUGAAAUCA
This 278-nucleotide long non-coding RNA is filed under the name Malus domestica (apple). RNAcentral describes it as "long non-coding RNA (MDOM_LNC003624)". Lineage: Eukaryota; Viridiplantae; Streptophyta; Magnoliopsida; Rosales; Rosaceae. The record is from RNAcentral.